AACCUAGCACACCUGCGGUGUGUACCUGCGGAGGGAUCAUUACCGAGUUAGGGUAGUUAUUCACUGCCCGACCUCCCAACCCUGUGUCUACCACACCUUGUCGUUGCUUCGGCGGACCGGUCGACCAACUGGUCGUGACCGCCGGGGGCUGGCUCUGUCCCCCCUGGAGAGCGUCCGCCGAUGGCCAACCACAAACUCUUGUACCGAAACGUGUCGUCUGAAUAAUUGAGAAAUCAAAUA
RNAcentral lists this unclassified non-coding RNA (240 nucleotides) under soil metagenome. Its description in RNAcentral is "partial contains 5.8S ribosomal RNA, internal transcribed spacer 2, and large subunit ribosomal RNA". The record is from RNAcentral.